CCUUGUUAAUACGCCUUGAUAAACAUAUUAAAAGAUAAUUGUACUGCCAAAGUUGUCUGUUAUUUUUUUCGGCACAACAAACAGAAGUCAAUUGACAGUUAAAACAUCUAAACAAGUGAAGAAAAUAAUAAUCAGCUGUUCUACUUAGGUCACCUUAUACUUUGUGGCCACCUUCUUGCGCCUUGUUUCUUUUAUGUUUGCAAUAUUUUUUUUUGUAAAAUUGUGCUGUUUUUAUUAUUCCUUAUUCACAAAAAUAUAAUAUCUUCAGAAUGGCUAUGUGGCAUGUAAUGAUGGGCUUUGGAAUUGGGUUGCUUGCUACAAUUUUAACAGUCAUCGUAAAUCAACGGCAUUAUCGAGGAAUAUCGCAUAAACCUAAUUCUAAUUUCUUUUCACCACCAGGUGAUAAAUGUGCAAUUUGCCUUGCUGAUAUGACAAAUGACGAAAUGGUUUAUAUGAAUUGCGGACAUGCAAUUCAUGAACAAUGCUUGAAAGACCUAAGGAAACAUGGAGACAAUAAAUGCCCGAUCUGUCGCGAAAAAAUAUAAGUAACUAAAGCGGAAUAUAUUUAUAAGAUUGUAUAUGGUAUACUUACGUAGGUAUAUCCUUCUUUGAUUUUAUGAGAUUGAAUUGCUAUUAUUUAUUAUAUACAUCUAGAUAAAACUUAAAAAUAAAAGUACAUACCUAUAAAAAA
This is a long non-coding RNA of Calliphora vicina (urban bluebottle blowfly), 691 nucleotides long. RefSeq lists it as uncharacterized. Lineage: Eukaryota; Metazoa; Arthropoda; Insecta; Diptera; Calliphoridae. The transcript has 2 exons. The record is from RefSeq and is a predicted model, not a curated record.